Molecule: unclassified non-coding RNA, 284 nt
Filed under: uncultured fungus
Lineage: Eukaryota; Fungi
Description: partial contains small subunit ribosomal RNA, internal transcribed spacer 1, and 5.8S ribosomal RNA
Rfam family: Eukaryotic small subunit ribosomal RNA (bases 1-73)
Source: RNAcentral
GCAAACUUGGUCAUUUAGAGGAAGUAAAAGUCGUAACAAGGUUUCCGUAGGUGAACCUGCGGAAGGAUCAUUAUCGAGUUUUGGGUGACCUUUUGGUCGCCCGACCUCCAACCCUUUGUUAAUACCACCGUUUGUUGCUUCGGCUGCCGGUUCGCCGGUGGCCGACAGCCCCUUCAAAUUCAUUUUGAUAUAACCAUGUUUCUGUCUGAAAAUUCUUUAAUUAAAAUUUAAUUAAAACUUUCAACAACGGAUCUCUUGGUUCUGGCAUCGAUGAAGAACGCAGC